This 499-nucleotide ribosomal RNA is filed under the name uncultured bacterium. RNAcentral describes it as "bacterial SSU rRNA". It matches the Rfam family "Bacterial small subunit ribosomal RNA", at positions 8 to 518 of the family's 1533-position model. The record is from RNAcentral.
AGAGUUGAUCCUGGCUCAGGAUGAACGCUGGCGGCGCGCCUAACACAUGCAAGUCGAACGGUUAAAGCACCUCCGGGUGUGCAUAGAGUGGCGAACGGCUGAGUAACACGUGGGCAACCUGCCCCCCUCAUCGGGAUAGCCUCGGGAAACCGUGGGUAAUACCGAAUACUCCGGCACCCCCGCAUGGGGGAGCCGGGAAAGCUCCGGCGGAGGGGGAUGGGCCCGCGGCCUGUUAGCUUGUUGGCGGGGUAACGGCCCACCAAGGCGAUUAUGGGUAGCCGGGUUGAGAGACCGACCGGCCAGAUUGGGACUGAGACACGGCCCAGACUCCUACGGGAGGCAGCAGUGGGGAAUCUUGCACAAUGGGCGAAAGCCUGAUGCAGCGACGCCGCGUGCGGGACGAAGGCCUUCGGGUUGUAAACCGCUUUCAGCAGGGACGAGGCCGCAAGGUGACGGUACCUGCAGAAGAAGCCCCGGCUAACUACGUGCCAGCCGCUGC